UAGCUGUCUCUGUCUGGAACUUGUU
This 25-nucleotide unclassified non-coding RNA is filed under the name Mus musculus (house mouse). RNAcentral's name for it is "oocyte_clustered_small_RNA7779". The record is from RNAcentral. Lineage: Eukaryota; Metazoa; Chordata; Mammalia; Rodentia; Muridae.